This 324-nucleotide ribosomal RNA is filed under the name uncultured eukaryote. RNAcentral describes it as "partial 18S ribosomal RNA". It matches the Rfam family "Eukaryotic small subunit ribosomal RNA", at positions 1470 to 1796 of the family's 1831-position model. The record is from RNAcentral.
CCCUUAGAUGUUCUGGGCCGCACGCGCGCUACACUGAUUCAUUCAACGAGUUUCUUCCUGGUCCGAGAGGAAUGGGUAACCUUUUGAAAGUGCAUCGUGAUAGGGAUAGACUAUUGCAAUUAUUGGUCUUCAACGAGGAAUUCCUAGUAGACGUAGUUCAUCAGACUGCAUCGAUUACGUCCCUGCCCUUUGUACACACCGCCCGUCGCUCCUACCGAUUGAAUGCUCAGGUGAGCCAUUCGGACUUUCAUCAUGCUGGUUUCCAGUUUUGAUGAAGGAAAGUCUUGCGAACCUUAUCAUUUAGAGGAAGGAGAAGUCGUAACA